GACGAACGCUGGCGGCGUGCCUAAUACAUGCAAGUCGAACGCAUUUUCUUUCACCGUAGCUUGCUACACCGAAAGAAAAUGAGUGGCGAACGGGUGAGUAACACGUGGGUAACCUGCCCAUCAGCGGGGGAUAACACUUGGAAACAGGUGCUAAUACCGCAUAAUUCCAUUUACCGCAUGGUAGAUGGGUGAAAGGCGCUUUUGCGUCACUGAUGGAUGGACCUGCGGUGCAUUAGCUAGUUGGUGGGGUAACGGCCUACCAAGGCUGCGAUGCAUAGCCGACCUGAGAGGGUGAUCGGCCACACUGGGACUGAGACACGGCCCAGACUCCUACGGGAGGCAGCAGUAGGGAAUCUUCGGCAAUGGACGCAAGUCUGACCGAGCAACGCCGCGUGAGUGAAGAAGGUUCUCGGAUCGUAAAACUCUGUUGUUAGAGAAGAACAAGGAUGAGAGUGGAAAGUUCAUCCCUUGACGGUAUCUAACCAGAAAGCCACGGCUAACUACGUG
This 507-nucleotide ribosomal RNA is filed under the name uncultured bacterium. RNAcentral's name for it is "partial 16S ribosomal RNA". It matches the Rfam family "Bacterial small subunit ribosomal RNA", at positions 28 to 507 of the family's 1533-position model. The record is from RNAcentral.